GACGAACGCUGGCGGCGUGCCUAAUACAUGCAAGUCGAACGAGAGCGACCGGUGCUUGCACUGGUCAAUCUAGUGGCGAACGGGUGAGUAACACGUGGGUAACCUGCCCAUCAGAGGGGGAUAACAUCCGGAAACGGAUGCUAAAACCGCAUAGGUCUUCGAGCCGCAUGGCUUGAAGAGGAAAAGAGGCGCAAGCUUCUGCUCAUGGAUGGACCCGCGGUGCAUUAGCUAGUUGGUGAGGUAACGGCCCACCAAGGCCGUGAUGCAUAGCCGACCUGAGGGGGUGAUCGGCGACAUUGGGACUGAGGCACGGCCCGAACUCCUACGGGAGGCAGCAGUAGGGAAUCUUCCGCGAUGGACGCAAGUCUGACGGAGCAACGCCGCGUGAGUGAAGAAGGUUUUCGGAUCGUAAAACUCUGUUGUUAGAGAAGAACAAGUGCUAGAGUAACUGUUAGCGCCUUGACGGUAUCUAACCAGAAAGCCACGGCUAACUACGUG
This 498-nucleotide ribosomal RNA is filed under the name uncultured bacterium. RNAcentral's name for it is "partial 16S ribosomal RNA". It matches the Rfam family "Bacterial small subunit ribosomal RNA", at positions 28 to 507 of the family's 1533-position model. The record is from RNAcentral.